This 305-nucleotide long non-coding RNA is filed under the name Medicago truncatula (barrel medic). RNAcentral's name for it is "long non-coding RNA (MTRU_LNC006041)". The record is from RNAcentral. Lineage: Eukaryota; Viridiplantae; Streptophyta; Magnoliopsida; Fabales; Fabaceae.
UAUCAGCAGCGAUUGCGAAACGAGUUUCUUCCUUUCGACAAUCGGUUGAAGAGGAGAACGUGACAGAGUUCAAUCUUUCAGGACUCAGAGUCGUGGUGAAAACGAAACCUGGAGAAGAAGAAGAUGAAAAGAUGAAAGGGAGAAUCACGUUCUUCUCGAGGUCAAGUUGUAGAGAUUGUACCGCAGUGAGAAAAUUCUUCAAAGAGAAAAAGCUGAAAUUCGUUGAAAUCAACGUCGACGUGUUUCGUGAACGAGAGAAGGAGCUACGUGAAAGAACGGGAACGGUUUCGGUGCCGAUGAUUUUC